RNAcentral lists this transfer RNA (71 nucleotides) under Dysosma aurantiocaulis. RNAcentral's name for it is "tRNA-Thr". Lineage: Eukaryota; Viridiplantae; Streptophyta; Magnoliopsida; Ranunculales; Berberidaceae. The record is from RNAcentral.
CCAUAUAUUAUAUACAUAGGUACAUAUAGUAGACUCAUAGUGGCUAGCGCCUCACUCGGGAAUUGAACCAA